CCUACGGGAGGCAGCAGUGGGGAAUAUUGCACAAUGGGGGAAACCCUGAUGCAGCGACGCCGCGUGAGUGAAGAAGUAAUUCGUUAUGUAAAGCUCUAUCAGCAGGGAAGAAAAUUACGGUACCUGAGUAAUAAUCCCCGGCUAACUACGUUCCAGCAGCCGCGGUAAUAAGUAGGGGGCAAGCGUUAUCCGGAUUUACUGGGUGUAAAGGGAGCGUAGACGGCAGUGCAAGUCUGGGGUGAUAGGCGGGGGCUCAACCCCCGGACUGCUCUGGAAACUGUACGGCUGGAGUGCAGGAGAGGUAAGUGGAAUUCCUAGUGUAGCGGUGAAAUGCGUAGAUAUUAGGAGGAACACCAGUGGCGAAGGCGGCUUACUGGACUGUAACUGACGUUGAGGCUCGAAAGCGUGGGGAGCAAACAGGAUUAGAUACCCUUGUAGUC
Molecule: ribosomal RNA, 440 nt
Filed under: uncultured bacterium
Lineage: Bacteria
Description: partial 16S ribosomal RNA
Rfam family: Bacterial small subunit ribosomal RNA
Source: RNAcentral